AACGAACGCUGGCGGCAGGCCUAACACAUGCAAGUCGAACGCUCCGCAAGGGGAGUGGCGCACGGGUGAGUAACACGUGGGAACCUACCUUCUGGUACGGAACAACCAAGGGAAACUUUGGUCUAAAACCGUAUACGACCUCCGGGUGAAGAUUGAUCGCCGGAAGAGGGGCCCGCGUCCGAUUAGGUAGUUGGUGAGGUAACGGCUCACCAAGCCUACGAUCGGUAGCUGGUCUGAGAGGAUGACCAGCCACACUGGGACUGAGACACGGCCCAGACUCCUACGGGAGGCAGCAGUGGGGAAUAUUGGACAAUGGGCGCAAGCCUGAUCCAGCAAUGCCGCGUGAGCGAAGAAGGCCUUAGGGUUGUAAAGCUC
This 375-nucleotide ribosomal RNA is filed under the name uncultured bacterium. RNAcentral's name for it is "bacterial SSU rRNA". It matches the Rfam family "Bacterial small subunit ribosomal RNA", at positions 29 to 433 of the family's 1533-position model. The record is from RNAcentral.